ACGCUCGACACCUACGGGGGCAGCAGUGGGGAAUAUUGCACAAUGGGGGAAACCCUGAUGCAGCAACGCCGCGUGAAGGAUGAAGGCCUUUGGGUCGUAAACUUCUGUUCUAAGGGAAGAUAGUGACUGUACCUUAGGAGCAAGUCCCGGCUAACUACGUGCCAGCAGCCGCGGUAAUCUGAGCGGGCUGGCAAGGC
Molecule: ribosomal RNA, 197 nt
Filed under: uncultured bacterium
Lineage: Bacteria
Description: partial 16S ribosomal RNA
Rfam family: Bacterial small subunit ribosomal RNA
Source: RNAcentral